This 468-nucleotide ribosomal RNA is filed under the name uncultured bacterium. RNAcentral describes it as "partial 16S ribosomal RNA". It matches the Rfam family "Bacterial small subunit ribosomal RNA", at positions 28 to 507 of the family's 1533-position model. The record is from RNAcentral.
GACGAACGCUGGCGGCGUGCUUAACACAUGCAAGUCGAACGGAAAGGCCCUGCUUUUGUGGGGUGCUCGAGUGGCGAACGGGUGAGUAACACGUGAGUAACCUGCCCUUGACUUUGGGAUAACUUCAGGAAACUGGGGCUAAUACCGGAUAGGAGCUCCUGCUGCAUGGUGGGGGUUGGAAAGUUUCGGCGGUUGGGGAUGGACUCGCGGCUUAUCAGCUUGGUGGUGGGGUAGUGGCUUACCAAGGCUUUGACGGGUAGCCGGCCUGAGGGGGUGACCGGCCACAUUGGGACUGAGAUACGGCCCAGACUCCUACGGGAGGCAGCAGUGGGGAAUAUUGCACAAUGGGCGGAAGCCUGAUGCAGCAACGCCGCGUGCGGGAUGACGGCCUUCGGGUUGUAAACCGCUUUCGCCUGUGACGAAGCGUGAGUGACGGUAAUGGGUAAAGAAGCACCGGCUAACUACGUG